This 468-nucleotide ribosomal RNA is filed under the name uncultured bacterium. Its description in RNAcentral is "partial 16S ribosomal RNA". It matches the Rfam family "Bacterial small subunit ribosomal RNA", at positions 28 to 507 of the family's 1533-position model. The record is from RNAcentral.
GACGAACGCUGGCGGCGUGCUUAACACAUGCAAGUCGAACGGAAAGGCCCUGCUUUUGUGGGGUGCUCGAGUGGCGAACGGGUGAGUAACACGUGAGUAACCUGCCCUUGACUUUGGGAUAACUUCAGGAAACUGGGGCUAAUACCGGAUAGGAGCUCCUGCUGCAUGGUGGGGGUUGGAAAGUUUCGGCGGUUGGGGAUGGACUCGCGGCUUAUCAGCUUGUUGGUGGGGUAGUGGCUUACCAAGGCUUUGACGGGUAGCCGGCCUGAGAGGGUGACCGGCCACAAUAGGACUGAGAUACGGCCCAGACUCCUACGGGAGGCAGCAGUGGGGAAUAUUGCACAAUGGGCGGAAGCCUGAUGCAGCGACGCCGCGUGCGGGAUGACGGCCUUCGGGUUGUAAACCGCUUUCGCCUGUGACGAAGCGUGAGUGACGGUAAUGAGUAAAGAAGCACCGGCUAACUACGUG